AGAGUUUGAUCCUGGCUCAGAAUCAACGCUGGCGGCGCGCCUAACACAUGCAAGUCGAACGAGAAAGCAGGAGCAAUCCUGUGAGUAAAGUGGCGUACGGGUGAGUAACACGUGGAUUAUCUACCUUCUAGUGGGGGAUAACCCUGGGAAACCGGGGCUAAUACCGCAUAAGUUCGAGAGAAGAAAGCAGCAAUGCGCUGGAAGAGGAGUCCGCGGCCGAUUAGCUAGUUGGUAGGGUAAAAGCCUACCAAGGCUACGAUCGGUAGCCGGCCUGAGAGGGCACACGGCCACACUGGCACUGAAACACGGGCCAGACUCCUACGGGAGGCAGCAGUGGGGAAUCUUGCACAAUGGGGGCAACCCUGAUGCAGCGACGCCGCGUGAGCGAUGAAGCCCUUCGGGGUGUAAAGCUCUUUCGGCAGGGACGAUUGUGACGGUACCUGCAGAAGCAGCUGCGGCUAACUACGUGCCAGCAGCCGCGGUAAUACGUAGGCAGCAAGCGUUGUUCGGAGUUACUGGGCGUAAAGGGUGUGUAGGCGGUCCUCUAAGUUUGGUGUGAAAUCUCCCGGCUCAACUGGGAGGGUGCGCCGAAAACUGGGGGGCUAGAGUGCGGGAUGGGAGAGUGGAAUUCCUGGUGUAGCGGUGAAAUGCGUAGAUAUCAGGAGGAACACCUGUGGUGUAGACGGCUCUCUGGACCGCAACUGACGCUGAGACACGAAAGCGUGGGUAGCAAACAGGAUUAGAUACCCCAGUAGUCC
RNAcentral lists this ribosomal RNA (758 nucleotides) under uncultured bacterium. RNAcentral describes it as "bacterial SSU rRNA". It matches the Rfam family "Bacterial small subunit ribosomal RNA", at positions 8 to 796 of the family's 1533-position model. The record is from RNAcentral.